Molecule: long non-coding RNA, 2516 nt
Organism: Chroicocephalus ridibundus (black-headed gull)
Lineage: Eukaryota; Metazoa; Chordata; Aves; Charadriiformes; Laridae
Exons: 3
Source: RefSeq, a predicted model, not a curated record
CUGGUCUUCUAAGGUGUGUUGAAAUACAUGCAAGGAGAAGCCCUGUGCUCUAAAAAAAGACUCACGGAGCAACUUUCAGCACACAAGUUCAAUUCUGGAAGAAAUAGAUGGAUCAAGAACAUUUUGAGGAUUUUGUGAUUCUUUCUUUCCUUCAACCAUUCACGCUAUGGACAGAAAGAAGCCAGAGCCAGGAGGGAAAGAGCCAAGAGUGGGCUAUGAAUGGAUCCUUGUAAGGGACCUCAGGACCCAGGAAGAAAGCAGAGGGGCUGAAGAGAGGAACUUUACACAAGACAGAGCUCUGUCCUGGAAGUCCUGUAAUCUUGUUCAGCUAAAACUCCUUACUUUAUUGUCAUGCAAAGUAUCAGCUUCCUCAGUGCAAUUUAAUCAGAUACGAAACUAAUGGAAGAAUCUGUCCCUAUAUUUCAUUCUACAGGACGAGUGCAUAUUAUCCUCAGGGCGCUGUGUAGUACUAACCAAUUGAAAAAGAGAAAAUCUCUUGUGAAUGUACUGUUCACAUAAGAUCUGGUGAUAGUUGUGAGUCCACAAUAUUUGUUUUACAUCAGUUACCAAAUAUUGCAUUUUGAUUAAAGCAUCUUCCAUACCAAUAAGUAUAUAUGAAUAUAUGUUAUUUCAUUACAAUAAUCUUGCAGUUGUGUCUUUUAAUUAAAUUUCAAACUUAAGAACUGGCAGCUCCAGUGAUUGUUGCUUAUCAAGUUUGAUAAAGAGAGAAAGAAACCCCACAGAAAGAAACCCCAGAAGCCCCACGGUAUUUCUUUCUGAGACUACAAGGUACGUAAUGAAGCAGACCCCUAGAAGUAGAAAUACAUGUCUUCGAAUAAAACUGUGAACUCAAAAUUUUUUUUUUGCUGUGGCCAGCAGUUAUCAGAACUUCCUGCCAUGCUAGCAAAUAUUAGUCUGAUCUUCUGCCGCAGCAGGAGGAAAUUUCUCUGCUGGUUGUGCUGAAGAAAAUGGGCAGAACAUCAUGUUUUUAUUCCCUAUUCAGGCUGCAAGGCAGGAGGAAAUUUGGAGGACGCUGGGCUUCCUCCAAAAGAACUCAAUCUUCUAGCAUCGUUGUCAUCAGUGUUAACAUAUACAAUUUUGAGGGGAAAAAAGAGAGAGAACGAGAGCACACCCUAGUCUUUUCUCUUUAAGAGAGAAUGGGAUCAAAGAAAUCCAGACACAGCAAAAAAGGACAUGACUCAGAUUCAUUACCACUAGGUCCUUGAAGUCCAUUCAUCCACUGGGUCUUUCUUACACUCGACCCUAACAGUUACACGGUUCACCCUUUAUUUCAGUGGUCAGAAAAGAUGGGAAUUAUUAAAGCCUAAAAUUUUCUAUGAUCUUUUGUUUGACAAAUCCUUUCUGACCACUGCAAAACCAGACUAGCAAUACAAUCAUGCUGUAACCUAUAGUAACCACAGAUGCACUCAAGGACAACAUGGAUUUUUGAAGACAAGAGGACUAAAACUUAUAAUGUCUUUUCAUUUUCAAAACACGAAAAAUACUCUAAGUAGGCAACGUACAAAGUAUCAUAUAACAUACAAGACAAAUGCUCUGCAGCCCAUUUUCACCACAGAAAUAAAAGGAAUGCCAACACCAGUAAUGAAAAACACUUAUAGAACAGUAAGUUGCCUGGAAACAGAUAAACGUAUUUAAACUUUCAUAUUUUCUUGAUGAAUCUACAGAGAGUAAUGAGAGAAAAGAAACAUAACUUUCACAUAUGUCUAUGUAUUAAGUUUACAUGGCAAGGUUUUGGUAACAGGGGGGCUACAGGAGUGGCUUCUGUGAGAAGACACCAGGAGCUGCCCCCAUGUUGAGCAGAGCCCGUUACAGACAGCUCCAGUACAGACCCAUUACUGGGCAAAUUUCGUAGCACCUCUGUGAUAACAUAUUCAAGAAAGGGUAAAAAUGCUGUCAGAGAGAGGAGUGAGAAAAAAUGCAAAAGAAGCAACCCUGCUGACACCAAGGUCAUUGAAGGAGGAUGAGGAGGUGCUCCAGGUGCUGGAGCAGAGAUUCCCCUGCAGCCUGAGGUGAAGAACAUGGUGAGGCAGGUUGUUCUCCUGCAGCUGAUGGAUGACCACAGUGAGGCAGAUAUCCACUUGCAGCCCACAGACGACUACAUGCCAGAGCAGUAGGAAGCUGCAGCUCAUGGAGAUACUACACUGGAACAGGCUCCUGGCAGGAGCUGCAGUCUGUGGAGAGGAGCAAACCUUCUGGCAGGACUGGUGACCCUGCAGGGGACCUACACUGGGGCAUUUUGUUCCUGAAGGACUGCACCACAUGGGGAGGACCCACACAAGAGCAGUUUGUGAAGAACUGCAGCCCAUGGGAAGGACCUACACUGCAGCAGCUCAUGAAGGACUGUCUACUGUGGGAGGGACCCCAUGGCAGUGACAGAAAUGAAGUGUUAUGAGCUGACCAAAAUCUGCCAUCUUCAUCCACCUGCGGCCCUUGGGGCAGUGGAGGAGGAGAUAGAAGAGUCAGGAGCAAAGGAAUGAAGUUGAGCCUGGAAAGAA